UUUUUUUUUUUUUUUUUUUUUUUGGUGGGCAAGCUCCUAGCCUCACAUUAAAAGCGUAAUUUUCUCAUUAUUGCGUUUUCCAAAUUGGUGUCGUUUUCAAAAAAUUAGUACAUAAUUUUUAUUCUUUUGCCACUCCUAUUCCUUGUCCUUUUUAGAAAGAUAAUAUACACCAUUCAAAUUUCUUAAUGUGGAGGGUGAACUUUGAAAACUCUGUGUAAGUAUCACCAUUAGGUCAUUAUUGUUAAAAUGUUGAGUUGCCCAAAAAUGACAAAUAUUUGGGAUGGAGGGAUUGAUUAGUAAAGUAAACAUAGGAAAUACAAAGAAAGCAAGAAAGAAGUGCAAAGAAAAUUCAUAAUGGUAGCUUUCUACACCAAUCAGAUGUAUGUGUAUACUUUUAUAUAUAUAUAUAUAUAUAUAUAUAUAUGUAUGUAUUCUUUAUUACUCGUUAGACGUUAUAUUUUUCAUUCCAUAAAGUAAGUAUACAUUAGUAUUUUGGGAGUUCACAAACAUUGUCACAUUUUUAAUAUUAUACUUCUUUACCCCACAUAAUAAAGUGACACAUGUUCCUUUAUUUUACAUUAACGAUGGCCAUGAAUCAUGUAAGAAUAGUCUGUGGAUGAUAUCUUCUAACUAAUAUUAAAUUAAAAGGCACAUCACGCCCCAAUCCAUGGUGUAAAAGAGUUUUGGAUUCAAAUCCUCUUUCUCCAUUUUUACUUUUUAAAUCUCACACGUCCCUUGGUAAUUUUUUUUUUUAAAAGUUUUAUAGGGUAAAAAGGAUUUCCAAAAGGCAAUAGAAAUUUCCAAAAUUUCAGAUUAAAGUGAAGUAGUGUGUCCUGAAUGAUUCACAAAAAAGAUUUUCAUUGCUUAAUCCUUUUCCCCUUUGGAUUUCAAUCCGCAUAACCUGCUUUAUAUGCUACCACUUAAUCAACCCGCGCUUAAUGAUUCAAAUCCAAAAUUCACGCUUCUCAGCUAAACACAGUCCACGCUUUCUCGAAACUAUCUUAACCAUUCUAAGUCCAUUCCGGGCAAGCAUGCAGAUCUUCGUCAUAUCCCAAAGCAGCAGGACCAUUGUUUUCGAGGUGGAAAUUUCCGAUACCAUCCAAGUCGUCAAGGCCAAGCUUCAGCUGAAAGAUGGAAUCCCUCCUCAGCACCAGAGCCUCGUAUUGGCCGGCAAACAACUAGAUGAAGAUCGCACACUCGAGGAUUACGACAUCUAGGAGAACUCCACAUUAAUGGCAAGGCCGAGGUACACUGACCAGCGAUGUUUUUAAACUUGGACCGGUCAGCGAACCGGAGAGGUGGCCGGUUCGCGGUUCGACCGGUCCAACCGGCCGGUUCACAGGUUCACUGUUUUGUUUUUUUUGUUUUUACUAAGCAAGUUUCAUUACUUGACAGCUAAUGUACAAUUUAAUAUAAUUAUUGAUAACUUAAGUUUCUAAAAUGCAUUCACCAACAUAACUAAAUUUAAGUUGAAAUAAUAAUAAAUUUCCUAAAAGUUAUACAUAAAACAUGGAAUGAUAAACAUAAUUAAAAUAUCAUAAUUCACCACAAGUUUUCAUAAAUUCAUUAUAAACAUAAAUAGAUACAAUCCAAAUGUUCACCAAUUAUCACAAAUAAAAACACAAAAAAUAACUAAAAUAAAUAUUGAAAUUCUUUUACAAUCCUUAAAAAAAUCCAUAAAAGAGUUCAACUCAAGACAAACCAUUUGAAUGACAAACUUCCAUUAGUGGCAUGACAAGUAGCAACAACACCACCUUCACAAUUUCAUCAACUUAACUUGGAAAAGUUAAAAUUUUAUUAUAAAAAUAUAAAUUAAUUGCUCAAACUAAAAAAAACUAAAAAAAUUUGAAAAACAAAUAUACAGCUAAACACAUUAAAAAUUAAUUAUUACUAAACAUCACUAAUUAACAUGUUAUAUUAAAUUCAAUGAUCCUAUACAAUUAAUUAUUUUAAAUUCAAUGAUCAAUAGCUUCGAUUAUAUGCCAACUAACAUAUUUUUUACCAGCCUAAUGUUAUUAUUUGUAAGUCCUACCCAAUUCCUACAUGGAGGUGUGCUACUUUUGCAAAAAUUUCAUCCUUAAUUACUCAAAUAAAAAUAAAACAAAAAUUAGGGAAACAGAUGAAAAUUGGGGGGGAGGGAAAAAGAAGAAAAUGCAAAAAAAAAAUCAACUAAAGAUAAUAAUAUAGAAAAAAAAGCUUGAAAAGAGAAAAAUUAAACUUACCAAAAUGAUGGAAAACAAGAAAAGUUGAAAUUUCCAACUUGUUUACAAUCUGCCAAAGAUGAUAACCUGAUAAUAAUGGUGAAGACUUGAGAAAAUCUUGUUGUGGAUAUUUGGGUUUAAAAUGGUUAUGAAGAAAAAAUUGAAAAAAAAAAUCAAGAGAAGAACUAGAGAGCGCCGCCUAAUGAAGCCGAGAAAGUAAUUGAUGGAAAGAAAAUUUAGAAAAGUUCAUCUGCAUUGAUGCACUUUGCUUUUUCUGUACCUGAUAUUUUAAUAUAUUUUUAGUCAAAUAGAAUUGUCAACAAGCUUAACUAUGGUCUAGUGGUAAAAUUGUCAUAUGUAAAUGUGGAAGCUUAGGUUCGAAUCGGAGCUACACCAUUUUUGAUAUUUUGUUGAGGAAUUAAAAAAACCGUCGGUUUACGGUUCGAACGGUUCAUCCGGUUUUCAAUGGUUUUCAUGAACUUCCGGUUUUAGCACUAGAUCGGACCGUUGACAUGUCCGGUUCGUGGUCCAACCGGUUGAACCGACCGGUCCGGUCCGACUCUGAAAACAUUGCUGACAAGAGAAAAUUCCAUCAUAUGCAGCCAUAUGAUCCUCCCAAUAAACCUCACAAAAGCACCCUCCCCAAAUCUUUGUCGGAAAACAGUCCACAAAAGUACCCGCCCGUGUUUAUCAUAGUAAUCGUUUAUUUUUUUGGUUAAUUGUACUGCUUCUUGAUGCUAACUAUGACAGGUUUCUUGACGUUAUUAGAUGCCAUUUAUGUUUUUUUAGCAAUGAUCAGUUAAUUGGAAAUCUUUUAUCUUGUAUUAUUGACUGGAAUUUGAAUUCUUGCGGUUAGAUUUUAUGUUCUUUACUGAUUAGCGAUACAGAAUUAAGCUAAUACAGAAUUAAUUCAUCUUGUAUUUAUGAUUGGAAUUUCUUCAUAUCAAUAAAUAUAGUAUCCCUAGACAUUGCACCUUUUACAUGGCUUAAUUAUAUAAAUAGUUAUUGACGAAAAAAAAUUAUAUAAACUGUUUGGCUAAGUUGUGCACCACUCACUCAUUAAUAGGGGUUUCAAGUAUUAGUUUUUUAGAAAAGUACAAAUAACAUGGAAAAAUGUAUAAAAACAAGGACAUAAUAAUUGUGAUUGUGUGUAUCAACAUAACAAAUUAGGGAAAAAUGCACUUUUCAUCCUUAAAGUUUGGGUUGUUAACCAAUUUUAUUCUCAAAAUUUCACCCAAAACGCAUUUUAUCCUCAAAGUUAGUAAUUUUGGCCAAUUAAGGACAAUUGACGGGAAUUGGCAAAUUUAUCGUUAGAACCAACUGUAAACCCAACAAAAAAUGGGUAAAAUCGAAUGGAACCGUAUUUCACAGCAGACGCUAAAAUACAAAGGGAUCAGUCACCAAGGUCAUGGCCCAGAAAAGUCAGUAGCUCUCUUUCCUAUGUUAUUGAUCCCUCCUUCUUGGACUUGGGAUCGCGAAAAAUCUAGAUGGGGACAAAGGAAACCCAUAACCAGGAGAAGGAGGCACUUAAGGCCCCGGGCCUAGUAUCCCUGAUUGAGCCAUUGGAGAAAGUGAGAAAUUUGGAGUCAUUGGAGAAGGGUGCUGAAAACUAGGAGAAAGCAAUGGAUACGAUGAUCUAGGAGAAAACAAAUUUAAGAAACCAGUUGGUGAUGGCAAAAGAAACUGAGAAGUUGGGGAAGGCAAAAGUGGAUGUGGACCAUUUAUUCGAGGUGAAGGAAGAGAGGGUGGAGGACCAUUCAUCCUAGGAGAUGGAAAAGGAGGAGGACCGUUCAUCCUAGGAGAUGUAAGUGGUGGAGGCAUGUUCAUUCUUGGAGAUGGGAUAGGCGGCAUAUGCGGAUUAGGAAGUAAACCAGAAGCAGAUGGCUGAGCUUGAUUUGGACCAAGACCCUGAGGUAUUAACUAGGGAAAAGGUUGCCUUGGCCCUGAAUCUAUGAUUGAAUUUUGAAGGUAUCGCAUGUAAGCUGAUAUAGGAGACUCAGCUGUGUUUGGCCAAGCAUCACCAGGAAUGAAGGGUGGCAACAUAGUUGGUGAUGGUUGGCCAUACUGGGGGAGAGGAGGUCUUGUGAAGUUGUUGUUGUAUGGAACACUAGCUGGAGGCUGUGCGGGAGCUGGCACUGGUACAGGAGGUUGAAUCGUCAUAGGAGGUCGAUUUAUUGGUGUCAAGGGCGGUGGCUGAAUCUUCUGCAACCGCAUACUUGCAGGUUUGGGGGGAUUUUGGGGAGGCCUAGGAGCAGGUGGUUCUUGAUUAUUCGAAGGUGAACCAGCAAACUGUUGCACUAUGUUUCGAAAAUCAUUUUUAUUAAUAUUAUACACCUAAGGCUGAGGUUGCUGCUUGGCAGUUUUAGUAAAAUUGGGUCGGUACAUUGGACUCUUCUUUAUGUUCUUCCCUAUCUUAUUCACACCCAAAUGAUCCGUAUGCCGAUUCAUCUGCCUAUUGGUACUAUCCAUAUCAACACCUUGAACCGACCAACAAAUUCAGAAUGGUGCAAGCUCAAAUUUCUUUUCUUCUUCAGCUAGUGAAUCCAACAAUUACCAUCUUAAGCAUCAAAACACCAACUGAUGAUCAAACCAAAGUAAAACUCAAAACUUUUGUGUAUUGAUUUUGAUGAUGUUUUUGCAGGGAUGAAGAUUAAGACAGACACACCUCUUGCCAAGAAGGCACGAGAAAGAGUUAUGGAAUUUUGCUAAUGAAUCAUCCGUUGGAUUGCCCAAUUUGUGAUCAAGGUGGGGAAUGUGGCUCCAUUCGGUUUUACCCAUUUUUUUGUUGGGUUUAUAGUUGGUUCUAACGAUAAAUUUGCCAAUUCUCGUCAAUUGUCCUUAAUUGGCCGAAAUUACGUAAUUUUGAGGAUGAAAUGUGUUUUGGAUAAAACUUUGAGGAUGAAAUUGGUCAACAGCCCAAACUUUAAGGAUGAAAAGUGCAUUUUUCCCUAACAAAUUAAGUAAUUUGUGUGUGCUAACUAGUGCUCAUUGGAUACUGAUCACUAGAAAAACCCUUACAUAAAUCAAGAAAGAUUAAUCUUACCUAAUUGCAAAACUAAGGUUACUCAUUGACAAAGUAUAAAUUGUUUUUCUUUUUGGUAAUUUUGUAAAUUGAUUUUUUAUUUGUUCAUGAAAUAAUGUCUUGACUAUAAGGAAAAAACAAAAUAUUGGGCUUAACUUAAUUUUAAUAAUAAUUAACAUCAAACCGUGAUUUUUUACAUUGAGGCCAUAAAAUCAUAGUAAUUCAUCAGACUUUCAGAGUUUUACAACACACUUUGUUGGGGAAAAAAUGGGAAAAAGAAUACACAACUGCAAACAUAAUCUAUUGUAUCUCCAGUUUAUCACGAGAGUCGGUGUCUCCUAGGCUACCGAUACCAAAAGGAUAAGCAUUAAGUAAUGAGGAUAAUGCAGAGUAUGCCAAUCUGGAAGAUGCUUCGUACACUAUUUCACUGGGAUGGAAAUCAUCCCAGAAAUAAUAUUCGUUUCUGUUGCUGCAGGGAAUUUGUCCAGGAAUGCAUUGUCCAGCACUAACUGUUGUAGACACAUUGCAGCAUGGUGCUUUAUCAAUUGUAAUUUCUGAGAUAGAUUUAGUGUAAGAAUGAAUUGAAAAAAGAAAAAAAAAACACAGUAUCAAAGAAAAAUGUGGAAGUAGACGUGUAGAAGAUAGAUGUACAAUGACGUUUUUUCUUUUUUUUCUUUUCUUUUCGUUUUUGUUUCUACAUAAACUGAAAUUUCCUAAGUGAACCUUAUGUAUCCAACUACACAUUCAAAUGGAAGCAUCAAUUUUUAGAAAAUGGCAAGUGGCAAGAUAGGAUAAUUUUGCUUUUAUAUUUACAUGUGAAAUGCUGAGUAGCUGAAGUGUUUCUAAGUCAAUCGUUCCAUUAAAACGUUAAUUUGCUUCAUUGGACUUCGAGUUUAUGCAAGUAUAUAUACUGAUGAAUUAUCAUUCCAUAUAGUAGCAACCAAUAUUUCGUGUUCAAAUGGUUAAAAGAUAAGAAAUCUAAUUGUUCAAAAUGUAUUAGACGGUUUAGAUCAUUUUAUUAGGAAAGGUAUGAAAAAUAAGAACCAAAAAAAAAAAAUUUUCAUAGAAGGGUACAACUUUUGGUAAAUAAGGGUAUGGGUAUUGUUCAUUGAUUAAAACAGUUAAUAAAUUUAUUGUUAAAUAACUAGAUCUUGUUUGAUAACCCAAUUCAGCACUUAAAUUUAAUAAUUUCAUAUUUUAACAUAUUCAGACUCGUUUGAUAAUAAAAAAUAAAACAUCUAAAUUAAUUAAGUGACACUGAAUUUUCUAAGCAAAAUUUGUUCGAAAAAUAAGUGAUAAGUUAUUCAUUUAUUACUUAAUAUGGUAUAUACUCAAAUAUAUUAGAUUUAGUGCUUAAUAAUUCAGUAACUUAAUGAAUUCAAAUUUUAGAUUUCAUAUUUGAAUUUUCAUAUUUCAGUUUUAUCAAACGCAUUCUAAAUCACCUUCAUAGAAUUGUGCACUCUAGUGUAUAGGGCAUCUACACAAAUAUUAUAUUAAGAGAUAAACUCUUUGGUUUAUGAGCCUCUUCAUUUUGAUAUUGCAUUAUCAUGAUUUUCAUAAACUUCAAAAGAAAACAACCCAAGAAUGUUAAAUGUGGUAACUAACCAAAUAAUUGCCAACUUGCAUCUUUUUCAAAGAAUGAAAUUAUUAUCCACACAUUUUACCUCAGUCUUUAUAACAAAAAUGUUGUAAAAUUAAGUUCAAUAAGCUUAUUUUGUAACCAAAACCUUGAUAUUCUUUUCGAUUGCAUGAACAUCAGGUUUGCCUUCAUCACCGUCCUAUAUUAUCUGUGCAGGUUGAGUCUAAAUAAACACUUUCGGUUUCCAUAAAGUAGAAGUUCCAACGUACCUGCAGGCAUAGUGCUCAAAGUGAUUGCUGUCACAUUUACAUAGAUAAAAUGUGCACUGCUUAACUCGGCAUUCAGUUCAUCGACCAGUGGCUUGAGCUCCUCAUUGAAUAACUGAACUUCACUAUUUAAAGAAUCCACACAUGUACCAUCUAUAGAUAACAAACCAGGCACACAACCAAGGAAACCUAGCCCAAAAAUAGCUAUUUUUCUUGCCCCCAAUCUGUACAAUUUCUAGCACCAAAAGGGAUACGAGUUAGGUUUUUUCUUUUUCUUUUUUAAAUGUAUAUUCAACGUGAACAUCAAAAUUUAAUGAUGGAAAAUGGAAAUUUGUUAAAAGAAAAUAAUUAUACGAACCCGUAGUUGCUGAGAAUAUUCUUUAAUCAACAUUCUAGCAAAUUGUCUUGGAGUACAUAGGCGGCUUGCAGCAUAACAUUCUGGCAGUAAGUAGCUGUCGAUGUAAUCGUUACUUCCAAUUGCAAAAGUAUACAAACAUUUGGCUAGGUAUUCUUUUGUUGCAGCUUCGUUCCCAAUUAAUCUCACAAGCUGCGAAGUUACUCUUCUAUGAUUUUGCAAUUGUUGGUUGAGGCUGACGAUAUCGCCCUAUUAGUAAAAAAGAAAGCAAUGUAGUGUGAGUUUUGGCUAGCUUGCCUCCCUCAAGAGGUCAGUAACAACAAAAAGAAAAGCAAAGCACCAAUACUGGAUUCUUGAGAUUUUGAAAUAAAUUUUUUAGCAUAAUUAGGUAAUAAUGAAUGUAUCCCAUUAGCUUUCUUUUAUUAAGCAAUUUUAAAGAAGUGGAAAUGUGUAUCAGACAAGAAAUUGGACAAUAAAAGAAAAAAUAGGUCAAGUUAUGAGUCAUGACUAUUUACAUUUCUAAUGAGGCCAUUGUGGCAUUGUGACCAGAAUCCAUGGUCCGCAGCUGAUAUGUUCACUACAUUAUUUGUUCCUUUUUUCAUUUUUCAUUUUCCCCCCAAGUAUUCUUACCACUUCAGUGUGCCAUAUGGUUCAUUUGUGUUAAAAUUGAAGACUAAUCCGCCAAUUGAAAAAUGGAGUUUGAUUUUUGUGCACUAACUUGGAAAAAGUUGAUAUAUUAAAUAAUAAUAGGUGGUCAAUAAAACUAUAGUAGUGACCAAACAAUACUGUUAAUGAUGCCAUGAAAAAAAUUGGCAAAAAGGGACUAGCAAUUAACCGGUAUUCUCAGAAUUUCAUUAGAUCUUUUGUUGAAAUCGAUGCAAUUGACAGGUGAAAUUUGUAUUUAAUAAACAUUUGGCUGUUUAAAGCAUUAAACUAUUUUGCAGAAACUAUAAGUUUCAUUUUGUUAUUGGGGUAAACCUCAAGUGAGAUAAAUGUAACCAACUCAAUUUACAAAAUGGUAAUUUGGGACUUUUAGAUAUAUAUAUAUAUAUAUAUUUUUGGUUGGUGCAUGCAACACAUGAUAGCGACUAAUGUCUGGGAGUAUUUGAUAUACGUUUUGUCAUUCAAGGGGUUUAACUAUAAUUUUGCAAAACAACAAGGUAGUUUUGUAAUUUGGUCAAAACCACAGGGAUGAUAAAUGUAAUUAACCCAAAAAACUAUAUAAAUAAUAUAAAUAAAAAUUUUCCAUUUGAAAUUCUCCUAGAUAAGACAAUUGUAUGAAUACUUAGAUCUAAAGUCAAAACGGGAAGAGGAAGGGAUGGAUUGGACAAUAUGGAAGGAAAGAAUAUAAGUGAGAGAUUUCAGUUCGAGGUCUCCGCUUACAUUAUAUUAAAAAAAAAAAGAAAUAAAAAGAAGAAGUCAGAACGGAAAGGUCCAAUGGAGCCCAAACAUUGGCCUUGAACUAUAGGCCCCCCAAACAAUUCUGUUCCAGUUCAAGGUUAAAUGAAAUUCACUUGAAUCAAGGAUCCAUGCCUCAUUAGUCUAUUUUAGUCCACUUCAAGUUUAAAUGUCUAUUUCAAAUUUUUGUAAAUCCUACUCUAAUUUGUUUAUAUUGUAUUGAAACUUAUGUACAUCUCAUUCUAACUUGUUUACACUCUAAAGGCCAGCUAAUUUGAUAUGGAACUUGUGACCAGAGAAGAAUGUGGAUAUAUGAUCAUGCCAGUAUCCCCUUAUUGGACCAUUCAUAGUACUGGAUUUUGGACAUAGUUCGAAAACCAUGGUGAAUAAGUGACUCGAAUCGUUGUCAAAAUAACUAAUCAGAAUUAAGUGCCCAUGCCAACAUGUCGUGGUUAAGCGAGGAUUAAGGGUCUAAGCUUGAGUCUACUUAACACUUCUAACUGGCAGUAUGCGAGAAUGAGCCUACACUUUGAUCUACACAUAGUGGACAAUCACUCUAGAUUUCAUUGCACACAAAAAUUAAAAGAAAAUGAAAAUCAAGAAGCCAAGUAGUCUCCUCACUAUAAUGUGAUUUGACCAUUUUUGGAUUGUCAUUUUUUCUCAAAAAAAUUUUACCUUUUCAUGAAUACAUUUUUCAAUCAUCAUAUAUAUCAAAUCGUUACAUUACAUUUUUUUUUAACAAAGACUUCAGAAAACAAUGAUCCAAACGGGAGCACAUUAUAAAUUAUUUUGGCCAGAAGGAAAUUUAUUUGCCAAUAUUCUAAUUCUCAAUUCAUAAAUAUUUAUAAAUGUUAAUGCAUCUUCUGAUUUAGUUAAAUUAUGUUUAACUCGAGAUCUACUGAGUGUAACACAUAAUAGAACCAUGUACAAUGUGUGUAUAGGUAAUUGAAGAAGACCACAAAUAAUAAACUUGGCAUUCAUGGACAUCCUCAUGUCAUAGUACUGUACAAGGUACUAUACAUUUUCGGUGUCAUAAAAAAAUUUUCGGUGGGCACAUUAAUGGCACCUGACUUAUUAGGCAGUGACAUGUUCUCGUUUUUGAACGUCAUAUAAAAGGUCUGGUACUACAAUGCGUCACAUUCCAACCCAGCAAAAACGCCUUUCAAGAAACAUGGACAAGAGCAUGGACAAGAAAAUGGCAGAAAAAGAAACAUGGACAAGAGCAAAAUUGAAAAAUAGAGACAAUUGGAGAGAGAGUUUAUGUUAGUCUUGAAAUUGAACAGAAUUGGAUUUCUUGAAUAUACUGCAAUUGCAAAACAAAGGGCCGUUAAAUCAGUUCUUAGCAUGUGGAUCGAUGAACAAAAUAUAAACUAUUUACUUUGCAUUGAGAUACAUAUACAGUAUCAUGUGAUUUUUUUUUUUUUUUUAAAAAAAAGGUUUAAAAUGGCUGAAGUGAUUUAGGCAAUUUUGUUUUCAUUUUGUAAGUGUAUUCUAACCAGAGUAAUGAGAGAAUAUAGUAACAUUGAUCUGAAAUUUCAAAACUUUUUAUUUUUCAAAACAAAAAUGUAUAAUUACCAGCUGGCGACCUGUCUGGUCAAGAAUUCCGGAUGCUGCUGAUGCAUAGUUAACGCCUUCAGUGAUGUCCUGGCCUUUGAUAUUUGCAAAUGGAGGCAUGUAGCCGGCAAAUCCAAGGAGCUCAGCUGCCAGAAACAGACGUAUACUUUCUUUCUAUCAUUAAGUAGCACAUAUCUAAGUGGCAAGCCCUAGCUUGUUUACGAAAUUCAUCUCUCUUUUUUUUCAGUCCUUAAACUUCAAGCAUCUCUUUACGAGAUAGAUUUCAUAUUUUAAGAGUAAUGUUCGAAGUUGAAGUUUAAGAACUAUAAAGUUGAUGCUUUCAUAUUUUAAGAGUUAAAAGUGUCCAAGAAUAAAAAUUAAAAACUCAGCUUGAAAUGCUUUUAGGAGUCCAAAGUGGAAUAUAGUCUUCAAUUCAUAAAAGAGUCCAUACGAAUCAAAAAACUUUUUGAAAGAAAUAAUACAAUUUAAAAAAAAAAAAAAAAAAAAGAAGUUUUGUGCUGGAUAUUGAAAAAGAAAGAGAUGGUUACCUAUGAAGUCCGCAUGGUUUCGCCCAUUGGUGAAGCGACCAGUUGGACCUUCCGGGAAAUCAAUGCCGUAAGGUGGAUAAUUUGCCUUGGCGGUAGUGUUCAGGUCAUUGUUGUUGCCAUUGUCAUCUUGUGAGUCACCGAAAAUGAAGUAACAAGGGACCUGUGGAUUGCCCAGAGCAAAUGGUUGCAAGAAGAAGAAGAUGACCAUUCCUACGACGGGCAAGAGAACCCAUUGCUUUGUUACAAAAGUCAUGAAUGCCGAUGAGGAAAGAAGCAAGUGAUAGGAAAAGCCAGACGCGGAGGUACCAAAGUCAUUGCCAAAAUAUAGAAGGCAGAGGAGCUAUUGCAGUUGGCUGUAGUGGUGGUCCACCUUGGGAGAGGGCGGAGCCACUCCAUCUCCAUGUGCAGCCUGUUAAACCUGACCCGGCAAAGGAGUCGGUGAUUGAUUCAACUAAUGAAUUGAUUGUUGAAUCUGUGGGUCGAUCACUAAAAAAAUAUUUAUAAGGGUAAAUUAUAUUAACUUCCCCUCUUGUUUUUACAAAAGUUAGGGAUCUCCACUCUUGAUCUCGGAACAAAGAGGACCUCCCCUCUUGUCUGCCAAAUAACAAGAAAAGCUUCCCUACCUAGCUAUGAUCAGGGGAGAAAUGUUAACUACUUUUGUCAUAAACUCAAUUCAAAGUCCCCAAACCACCAUUUCAAUGACACAAGUAAUUAUUUCCAAAAAAAAAUUAAGAAAAAUAGAGUGGAGUACCGAUCACACAUAAUUUUAUUUAUAGCCAUAAAAGUAAAUCCAUAAUACUUCUUUUCUAUAUUAGCUUUGCCACAAAAUAAGUUGAUGUCUUGAAUCAUUUAUGUAAUAUUCAUGUAUAUACAAGUUGAAAUUUUAAAUUGUUAAUAUAUUUGAUAAAUGUACAGUUUGGACACCUCAUUUUAUUAGAAUCCAAUUUAUUCUUGAAGUAGGUACACAUGCAAAUCUAUUAAUUUUGACUGGGAAGAAUAAAAAUAAUGAACAAAUUAAAUAUGGGAAAUCUUCAAAUUUUAAUGCAUAAAAAUCGCUUUAUUCUUCUUUUUUCCCCCCAUUUCUUAGAGAACUAAAGCUCUUUGUUUUGACAAUUUUCUUUUGUUUAAUAUAAGAUAAAGGGUAAAAAUGUAAAAUGAAAACUAUUGUAAAUGUUGACUUGAUGGAAGACAUUAUUGAUAAGAGAGGCUCAUGUUGUCUCAGAAUCACGAGAAGAGACCCCUGACUGUUGCAGGAAACUAGAGGGGAGGUCAGUGUAAUUCACCGUCUUUGCAAAUACAUGUGACAUAAUUAUUAGUUAUCUUGAGGUGCGUAGAAUUUAUAAAUAAAGUACUUCAUCAAUAUUAAUUAGUACAUCUAAAAAGAUAUAUUUUGAAUAUAUAAACUUAAUAAAUGAGUCAAUUUCUUUAUAUCAUACUUUAAAAAUAUAAAGCAUGCAUUCAAAGAUAAACAAAAAAUUAGCUUAUUUAUUAAAAGAAUAGGCUUUUAAGGAAAUAGAAUUAAGUUUUUGUCAAUACUUUGCCAAAAAAAUUCAAUUAAUUUUCAACCGUUGUUUACGUAAUAAUAACACUUUCAUAUUGAAAGUUGAAUUAAUUAUGCAAUAAUAAAGUAAACAAAUACAUUUGAAGGGACAUUUGGUCAACAAGUGAAAGUUUAUUUCCAAUAAUAAAGUCUUUUGCACGUCAAUGAAGACAUUCAUAUUUCCCCUUGAGAAAAAAUUGAACUUUAAACAAAAUUAUUUUGAGAUUCAAGGUCCAGACAUUGGUAAAAACAUACAUUUUGAUCCAAAAACAAAGACCUAUGUUAUUCAUCGCAGGGGAGGUUAGGUCAGUCCAAAUAAGGCUUGACCGAUUACAUAUUGUCAAAUUAAUAAGAUAAUUGUACACAGAUAUACAUCGGUCCAAUCUCAUUCCGAAUCAAUACUAUGAAGUGGACUCACAUUGGGUCUUAAUAUAUACAUGUGUGUGUGUGUGUGUGUGAGAGAGAGACCUUGAAGCAGGUUGGGCUUGGGCCACCAAGAUUUUAUUACCGGUUCGAUUUUAAUAUAUAGUAUCAGGACGUAGAGAUUAUGAAUUCAAAUUUCCUUUUCGCCUACUCUUUGUUUUCUAAAUCUCACCUCUUUUAAUUUUUUUUUUUAAAGUAGGUUAUAUAGUUGUAAGAGUAUAUAGGGUUAGAACAAUCACAGGGGCAAACUAGUAUACCAUGGUAUAAUCCCACCCCUUAUUUAUCUUGGGAAAACUGUUACCACCUCCAAUGUAAGAUUAUUUUAUCUUACGAAUGAGGGAUUAAUUUGGUAAAAUGAAAAGUCUAAUUGCAUAAAACUAACUAAAUAUGGGAUAACAUAAUAUUAAUAAUUUAAUCCUAUGUCAUCUCAUGCAACAAACUAGCGAAGUCUUUUAGACUAAUAAAGGCACGGUUUGAAUCCGAACGUAUUAUACUGACUGUCAAUUUAUUGUGGCAAAUCUGGAAAUCUAGAAAUGAGAAACAGUUCAAUGGUCAGGAAAGGAAUCCGUUAGUAGCAGUGAGUAAGGCAGUGGGGGAAUGGAAGGAGUUUCAGGAUGCUCAAGCAGAGGAAUUGGAGAGUCAGGGAAGUGGUAAGCAUGAAGCUGAGGGAUCAAGGGGGUGGAGGCUUCCUCAGGAAGGUUGGGUCAAGAUAAACACAGAUGCUGCAUUACAAAAGAAGGAAGGUCUGGCGGGAUGGGGAAUGGUUGCAAGGGAUUGGCAAGGGAAAGUUCUGAAAGCUUGGGCAAUACCAAACCGUAGCUGUUCUAAUCCAAAACUGGAGGAGUCAUUGGCUUUAAGAGCUGCCAUGUUGCUGGCAAAACAGCAGGGUUGGAAGAAGGUGAUGUUUGAAUCGGACUGCCUACAGGUGGUGGAGGAAAUUAACAAGGAGCAGUCGUAUGAGAUAGGCUCAGUAGUAUUAGAUGAUAUCAGGGAACUUAGGAAAAAUUUUUACGAAUGUUGUUUUACCUUUACUCGAAGAGUAAACAACUUUGUUAGCCAUAGACUUGCCAAAUUGGCAAUUAGCUUAACAAUACAAACUGAAUGGAAGGACAUCUUCCCAGACUGGCUGCCUGCACUGGUGCAAGCAGAUAUUGAGGGCAGUUGCCCAUCUUUCAUGUAAAGUUUAUGUUCAGUAAUAGAAUGUUACCGACCUUUUGACAAAAAAAAAAAAGAAUCCUCACUCAAUCAAACAUGUGAUUACAUAAAGGUCUUUUAGAACUAUAAGAACACUUAAUAAACUUUGAACGAGGAUUCUGCACAGACAUUGGGCUUUUACACAAUUCUAAUAGUAAUUAUAAAUGGUCUGAGAUUAAUGAUAACAUAUUGUUUCCAUUGAGGAGAUAAUGUCAUACUAGCACAUUCGGACUCUCCAGUUUUAUUACAUCGAGUUUGACUUGUUGGAAACUUGGAAUAUAGAAAUAUCAUGGGACACAUAGAUACAGUCUAUUGUAUCUUCACUUUAUCAUGACAGGUUUUGCCUGUAGGCCGCCAAUGGCAAGAGGAUCAGCAUCAAGUAAUGAGGAUAACGCAGAAUAUGCUAAUCUUGAAUAUGCUUCAUUGACUACUUCACUGGGAUGGAAAUCAUCCCAAAAAUAAUAUUGGUUCCUGUUGCUGCAGGGAAUUUGUCCAGGAAUACACUGUCCACGAGCAACUGUUGCAGACACGUUGCAGCAUGGUGCAUUGCCAAUUGUAAUUUCUGAAAUAGAUUAAGUGUAAGAUUGAAUUAAAAAGAGAGAACAGAACCGGCAAAAAAAAAAAAAACAGCGGAAUGUAAGACAGCAGGAAAGAUACAAUGACUUCAUUUGUUGAAAAAAAAAAAAAAGAAAACAAGAAACAUAAACUAACUAAGAUCUCCUCAACAAUAAUUUUUUGAAUGCAGUAUUUAUUAUUUAUUCAGGUUGAAUCUAUUUUGUGAAUCAAACAGAAUGUUCCAGUAAAAUAGGAGCUCAACGUACCUGCCGGGGUGGAUAAAUUGUUCAAAUUGAUUGCUCUCACAUCUACAUAAAGAAAUUGUGCAUCGCUUAACUCGGUAUUCAGUUCUUCAACCAGUGGCUUGAGCUUGUCAUUGAAUAACAGAACUUCAUCGUUAAUAGAAUCCACACAGUUACCAUCUGCAGAUAACUCAGCAGGUAUGCAGCCAAGCAAACCAAGCCCAAAAACAGCUAUUUUUCUUGCCCCCAAUCUGUACAAAGUCUAGCACCAAAAGGGUUUCAAGUUAAUUUUCUUUUUCUUUUUUUUUUUUUUAAAUUUAUAUACCUGGUGAACACGAAAAUAAUGAACGAAGACUGAAUUUUGUUAAAGAAAAAUAAACAUAAUAAUAACUAAACCAACCCGUAGUUGCUGAGAAUAAUGCCUAAUUAACAAGCUGGCAAAUUCUGUUGGAGUAUAUAGGUGGCUUGUAGGAUAAUAUUCUGGCAACAAGUAGUUGUUGAUGUAGUCAUUAUUCCCCAAUGCAGCAGUGUACAGACAUUUGGCCAGAUAUUCUUUUGUUGCAGAUCUGUUUCCAAUCAACCGCACGAUGCGCGAAAUUACUCUCUCGUGAUUGUGCAAUUGUUCGUUGAAGCUGAAGAGAUCGCCCUAUUAGCAAAUAAAAAAGCAUCAUGCAGAGCGGCUUUUGGUCAUGUUACCUCCUUCAUGUGAAAAUUAACAAUAAAAUAAAGAGCAAAGCACCUAUACUCUUUUUUCCCGCAUUAUAUUUAGAUUUUUUCUUUAAAAGUGGGAUUCUUAUGCUUUAUCUUGCACUGACACCUAAGGUGUUGAUCGCUCAAAAACCAUUGCAUCUACUUUUUGCCUUGCACAUACAUUAGGUUGUCAUAAAAUUCUUAUCCUUUUUCCCUUCUCAAUUACUCCUUUUUGUUAAAAUUUAUGCCUCUGAGCUCCCUUUCUUUGUAUUUUCUAAGAAAUUUUAUUCAAGCUGUAGGACUUAUCAUCUAUAAUUAGGCAACGAGAAUAUCUUUGGGUUAGCUUCCUUUUAUUGAGCAAUUUCAAAGAGCUGAAUGUGUUUAUCAAACAAGAAAUCGGACACUAAUAGAAACAAGAGAUCAAGCUAUGACAAUCUAAUAAAACCUUAUGCAUAAAUUGCCAUCUAUAGCGUGGGUUGAGCAGCAAAUUACUUCCUAUAGACGAUCAACCAGACGAGUGGCCCAGAUUUUUGGUACAGGAGAAGUGUGAAAGACAUUUAUGCCCUCAAUACAUAAUACUUUGGUAGUUCUAUUAUUUUUAAGAGUGGUGUUAUUAUAUUCUACUAGUAAAGAACAUUGUACACUGCUCUCUAGAAAAUGGUGAUACAAUUGUAGAUAUAAAAAAUGAAAUAAUUUCAGAAACCUCCCAUGAGUUUUCUGACACUUUCACUGACCUCUUUUGAAAUUUCAAAAAUUACACUAUCCUCCUUUGAACUUAAGGUUUUGGUAACAAAAUCAGUCCAACUCAGAAAAAAGCACUAUUGAAAAAGUAUUUUGAGGAGUGAGAUGAUAAUUUUCUUUCAUAUAUGCCCUUUUCUAAUUGUCUUCAAGUUGUAUUAGUAAAGCAAAAAAUAAUUAAUAAAAAUCAAGGAAUAUAUGUAAAAUUUGAAAAGAUGCAGCAACUAUAACCUGAAGCAACAAUGGUUUUUGCACAUGCUAGUGCAAAUUGUAAUGGCCAUAUUUUUUGUCAUUUGCAAGUUGCAACUAUAUAUAAAAGACACAACUAACUCUAUAAUGCCAUUAAAUUAUUGGUAUAAGCAUCUAAAUUUGGGCAAAAAAAUUAAUCUUUUUAUUGUAGUUGACGAGGUAAAAGUAAAUAUAUUGAUGCAGAAAACAUACAAGUCUUAGUCAACAAAUCAACAAUAAACAGUAUAAAUAGUUUUGUUUAACCACAAGAUUCAACAAAAUAAGUUAGUCAAAAAAAUUUUCUAUUUCUCUUGCUCAUAAGGUCUAUUUGUGCAGAUUAUAUAAGGUUGUCUAUUCCAAUUAUUGUCAAGUGAUAUCAAUCACAAAAAAAGUGCCAUCUUAAGAUAGCAAUUGAUGCAAUUUUUUGAUUGUAAUUAUGGUUGCUAAUUUGAGAUGAAAUAAUCAUAUUUUGGUUUAAUUAGUUAAUCUUAUUUAUUUAGUGCCCUAAUCUUUUUUUUUGUCAUAUAUCCAUUUGUAAUAAUGCAUAACAUCUUAGGGCAAAGUAGUACUUUCACUAUAUUUUAUAUAAGUAAUUAAUGGGUCCAAAUUUUUGGCAAGAGAGGUUAGUAUAAUUUUUAAAAUCUUAAGGGAGGUCAGUGAAAGUGUUAGAAACCUCAAGAGAGGUUUCUGAAAUUAUCCCAUAAAAAAUUACAUAAAUUAUUUUUACUAAAAAAAUUUAGUUGUGAUAAAUUAUACUAUUUAAUUUUUUUAGAAGAGAAUACCAAUAUAUAUUUGAAUAUCAAAAGGAAUUAUGAAUAAUGAGAAAGAAACAAAAAUUGAAUGUCAAAUAAUUUUUAUAAAUAUUUAAUUUCCAUUUGUUGUGAUAAGGAACUAUCACUAAAAAUACAAUACUUUUUUGUUGUGUAUAUACUUAACCGGUAUAUAAUAUCAUGUUAUGCAUGCACACAUAUAGUUACAUAUACACACACACACAUACAUACAUACAUAUGUCGGUACGUGGGCCAUGUACCCUUUUGCCAAUCUUGAAUUCUCGGUGCCAAAUUUGCAUAUAUAUGUAUGCAUGCAUGCAUGUAUAUAUGUGUGUAUAUGUAUAUCUAUAUAUGUGUAUGUAUGUGUUGCAUUUUUUGAAAGUAAAUUAAAUAUAUACUUUUUUUGAGUCAGAAAACAUUCAUUUUAGUAAUAAUUCCUAUAACAUUAAAUAAAAAUUAUUAUUCAUGAGAAAAUUUUCAAUUUCGUUUUUCCUUGUUUGUCCUCAUUAGUAAAUUCCUUUUGAUGUUUAGACAAUUUUUGAUACAUUCUUAUGUAAAAUAUUUCAAUAUCAUAAACUAUCAUAAGAAACUAUAUGUCGUUUAGUAAACUAAUUUAAGUGAUCUCUACAAUUACAUCUCCAAUUAUCACCAUUUUUUGGACAUCAAAUUAUUUUGUUAAUAGUUUAAUAAAAACAUUUUUUAAGGACAAAAUUGUCGAAGUAUUAUACAUCACAAUGCAUGACUAUCUUGUCAUACCUCUAUAUAUAGAAAUUUAACCCACAUGUUUGUUCGUUUGUCUAUAAAUAGCAAUUUAUCUGUUUUGGCAUUAUAGGUAGAGGGUUCAAACUUCAAAAAAAAAAAAAUGGAAAAACCAGUUGACGCAAUUUAGAUUGAAUUUCGGAUCUAGGUAAAAUCGAAAUAUAUCCAUUUAUAAUAUUUGAUAAAAUAGUUUGGGAAUGGAUAUUAAAAAUAUAUUUUCAAAUUACCAAUUACUAGCUGAAUUUUCAAUAUAUAUAUAUGUGUGUGUGUGUGUUAUAUAUGUACAUAUUACUAAAUAUUCAUUAGAAAUUAGUUAACUAUUGAUUACUCUAGUGCAGUAUUUACUAAUUUACUACUAACGAACUUAGUGAUUUCCCACUAAAAUUGGUCAAUAGCAGAGACAGGAGCAUGCAGAUUCUCUCUACCGGCUGGUUCUUUUUGCAUUGUCUCUAGAACCGAUGGCCUAAAGCUGGCAAGUUACUUUGUUUUCUUUCUUUUUCUUUUUAUUUUCAUUUUCCUUUUUCUUUCCUUAAGUAAUUUUACCACUUUAGCAUGCCAUGCGGUUUAACUGUGAGGAAAUUAUUUCUAAAGUGGAAAUUAUGUCAACAAUGACCCAACGUAUAUGAAAAGAUUUCAUUUGAAAAUUUCCUAAAAUUGACAUUCUAUAGAUACCUGUGUCUAAAUUCAAUACACAGACAGCAUUAGGAUCGGUAUUUGGUGGACCAACCAAAGAAGAAUGUGCAUAAGAUUAUGACAAUAUCCUCCAAUUCGAUCCGUAAACAGCCUAGAUACUGGACAUAGCUCGAAACAUGACAAAUAACUAUCCUGCUCUUCGUCAAAAUUGACUAAUGAAAAUAAUUCUGUAUGCCUAAAAUUCAGGAUCUACGCAGUCGCACCUACAAUAGCAGAAUACAUUUAAUUGUCGAAAUCGUGGCACAUUGGUUCAGUCCAGUUUGAUCUGAACAAUUCAUUUCAAAACAUUUUAAUUUGAAAUAAAUGGCAAGGUCAUAUGCAUUAUCUGAUUUGAACUACUAAUUGUACUGUGCAUCUACAGGUUCCCUCAUCCAAAAAGUCAGGAUAGUGUCAAAGCUUGGCCCUAUCCCUUUGCAUUCGAAGCGGCAGGAAUGCGCCUAGACUUCGAUCUAUGCUCAGUGGACAAUCAUUCUUGUUUUCCUUUUUCUCUUCUUUUAUUUAAAAUCAUGUAAAACGUGUAUUUAGAUACUUGAAGAACACCACAAAAAAUGAAUGGCCAAUAUUGAUCUAUUAGUACCGUACUGUAUUUUAGGAUCCCCCCUCAUUGUUUACCUCUCAAGAAAAGUUUGAUGGAGUGUCAUCAUCAUUUUGCAUAUUGAACUUUAUCAUGUUAUUCCUUCCCAAAAAAAAAAAAAAAAAAAAAAACUUUAUCUUGUUAUUGUAGUGCUACAAAGUGCAGACUUCAUUACAAGACAGCAAUCUUUUCUCACUUUUUGGAUGUAACACAAAAGGUUUGGCACACAACAUUACAUUUCAGAUUUUUUUUUUUUUUUAUGUAGCAUGGACAGGGACAAAUCUGGAAAAUUGGGGUCAAUUAAUGAUUUUAUGAGGAUGUUGAUAUUUGACAAGAGUUGGAUUUCCAAAAUUAACUGCAAUUACAAGACAAUGGACUACUAAACCAAUUCUUAGCAUGUGGAUGUACAAAUCUAACUAUUUAGUUUGCAUUAGCAAAAGUAGAUGCAUGCACCAUCAUGUGAUUAAAACAGAAGAAAAAAACAAAAGCUUUAAGAAUGUCGAAGUUAUUUCGGCAUUUUUCUUUUCUUUUGCAACCUUUGUUGUGGGAGUAUGUCAUCGGUAUCAACUUCUAAGCACCUAUUUUUUGAGAAAAUAAGCUGUCUGCUUACCAGGUGACGACCUGUCUGAUCAAGAAUUCCAGAUGCUCCUGAAGCAUAAUUAAUGCCUUUAGUGAUAUCCCGGCCUUCUGUAUUUGCAAAUGGAGGUAUGUAGCUGUCAAAUCCAAGGAGCUCACCUGCCACAAAGAGACGUACACUUUCUAAUUCAUACCACGAAUUAUUGGACCUGGAUCCUGUGCAACCGCAAGGGCAAUUGACAAAUUUGACGCUCCUUCAUUUAUUUAGUCAUAUUUAGAAAAUUUAACUUUUAAAAAUAAUAGUUUAAUUGUGAUUUUUGUGUUUCUUUUUUCUAAUUUUAUUCCAAUAAAUUUGAAAUUUAAAUUUAAAUAAUAACAUAAAUAUGAUUAAAAAAAGAAUUAUAUUAAAAAAGACACUAAAAUAUAUUUUGAUUUUUUUAUAUACGACAAUUAUUUUAGAACAUUACAGAAUGAAAGUACGACACUUUCAAUAUCAUGAUAUGAAGGGAAUAGUUUAGAUCAGUCCAACUAAAUUUGAAUUGAUCUCAACGGUUAACUUAAAAUUUAUUGAGUUGUUAUCGGCCGUCGAAUGGCCCAUACGGUUGUACGUAUAACUGCAACGGGUCCAAAUCCCAAACUGUUGAUGUUGAUGUAUAACAUACAGGGCUGAGGGCACCAAUGAUUGUCGUUGAGAACAGUUCUGAAUUGAAUUAUGUAAUAUUUUUUUGAAUAAAAUAUAAGUCUACAUAAAUUAUUUGUAAAAUUUAAUAAUAGAGACAUAAUUAUUACAUAUGGAAUUUACAUAAAUAGUAACAAAAUAUCACAUCCAUAUUAUAAAGAUGUAUAAAAAAAUUUACAUAAAAUUAUAAAAUAUUUAAAAAAUAUUACACUGUUUCCCGCUCUCAUAACAUACGAGAUGGCAUGCACUAACUAGCAGCUUGCCGCCUAUGGGAAAAUGUCUAUAAGAAAAAAAGUCUUUCUGAAAGACAAUAUAUAAACAAAAAAAUUCUAUAAUAUAUAGAAACAGGGGUUAAUUUCACUUUGUCCCCCCAAACUUUGGACGAUUACCCACUUCAGUCCCUAAACUUUAAAAUGGGAUACUUAAGUCCCUAAAACUUAUAAAUUGGGACACUUAAGUCCCUAAACUUAUAAAAUGAGUCACUUAAAUCCCUAAACUUAUAAAAUGGGACAAUUCGACCACCAACGGCAUUCAGGAUUCUGUCAACAAUUUUCCUUAAUUGGGAAGUAUUUAUAAGUUUAGGAACUUAAGUGUCCCAUUUUGAAGUUUAGGGACUGAAGUGGGUAAUCGUCCAAAGCUUGGGGGGACAAAGUGGAAUUAACCCUAGAAACAGUGACCAAGUCAAGAAUUUAUGAUAACAGCAGUGACUCGUGAAUAUUGAAUUAAUUCUUUACGAGUCUUAAAAAUAAUAGAAAUUAAAGAAGUCCGGAAAGCAAAAAUCGGGGGAUUUUUAGGGCGAGGGGGGUGAUUCUGAUAUAUGUCAUUUUAGUCAAAAUAGCAUGGGCACAAGAGAAGGUCAUUUUACAAAAACUUCAAAACUUAACAGAGAGAGAGUUAAAAGAAUAUUUUAAAACUUAGGGGGUGCAGCUCUUGGUCGCCUGCUGCCUCAGCCUCUAAUAAUGGAUAGGAUAGGAAAGAGAUAGUCACCAAUGAAGUCUGCAGGAUUUCGGCCAUUGGUGAAGCGACCGGUUGGACCUUCUGGGAAAUCAAUGCCGUAAGGUGGAUAAUUUGCCCUGGCAGUUGUGUUCAGGUGAUUAUUGUUGCCAUUGUCAUCUUGCGAGUCUCCAAAAAUGAAGUAGCAAGGGACCUGUUGUUCGCCUAGGGCAAAUGGUUUCAAGAAACAGACAACCACUACAAUGAUGGAUAGGAGAAACCAUCGCCUGGCUGCAAAAGCCAUGAAUGCAGAUUGACAAGAAGAAAAAGGCAAUGGUAGGUUUAGCAAGUCAGAGGAAAAGGCAAAUAUGGAGGCACCAAGGAUGCAGAGCGGGAGCCAAUAUUUUAUACAAGGCGGAAGCACUACUGUAAUUGGUCGAUUCUGUGGAGUGAAUUGGAACUCGUCAUUUCUUAGACAACUGAAUUUUGUACGUGACUGUAAAAAGUAUUUUUCUGGUCAUUUUGUUUGUGCAUGAAGAAAACUUUUUCAGUGUACAUACUACAUACUAUCAUUAAAUACACAAUUUGUAAUAAUAGUGUGUUUGGACAGCCAAUUAUUUGGCCAAAUAUAUUUGCUGACAUCACCAUCACAAUUUUCAAUACACUUUUUUAUCUUCUCAAUUACCUUUUUAUCUCACAUACAUCACAUCACAAAAAGUGCUAUAGUAAAAAUAUUUCAAAUAACUUACAAUCCAAACACACUCGUGUUUCAGAGAUAAUCAUGACGUUGAACCAAAUGAUAGUACUAUUUUUGUGUACUGUACAACUAUAGAUCAUAAUUGAAGAUCGGUUAUUUAUUUUUACAUAUCAAAAGUUUGAAGAUUUUUCAUUUAUUUUCAAAUAACACUUAAUUUAUACCGACUUUAAGAAAUUUUCAAUAGAAAAAAAAAAAAAAAAAAGAGUUGGGGCCUGGGGUAGCAAUUACCCGCCCUCGAUUGGACAUGGUUCCGCCCUGAUUCUGCCAGCCAUUAUUUAUGCACUACAGCCCACAAUAAUGCAGAAAGUAGUUACCAGCUGGAUUUUUAAUAUUUAAUUGGCCUAUGCUUUAACUUUAUACUGGAGCCAGUUGAAUUUUUAUUGUCCUUUGGUAAAUCCGACAAGGAUUACUGAAAAGUGGGGGGUGACGGUUUUGCACAUCACAUCAAUGUCCAAUGCAGUACUGCAUGCGAAAGCACUGCAAUGGAAUGGCCUUCUCAUCUUAAACAAGUUUCCGGAGUUGGAUGCAGCAGGAAUUCAAAAUUCCAUAUGUAGUAAAAAUUUUUUUUAAAAAGGUGUUAGAGCACCUCUUUAAUUUAGUUAGAUUUGCAUACCUGUUAAUUGCUUAUAUAAUCUCUUUAAACUUCCCUUCCUUGCAAAAUAUAGAAUAGAUUAGAUUAUAAAUAUAUUAUAAAAAAAUAUGUACACCGUCCUCUCUAAACUCUCUUCUCUAUAAAAUAGGAUAUAUUAUAUUAUAAAAAUAUUAUCAAAAAUAUGUACACUGUCCUCUUUAGACUCUUCUUUUUGUAGAAUAUGAUAGAUUAUGUUAUAAAAUGGUUGUAGCAAAAAAAUAUAAAAAAAGUACAACGCCUUCAAUAUUACUCUGUAACCUACUUUAUUUGGAUUGAGUGUUUUUUUUUUUGACAAAUUAUUUUUGUUUGUGAAAUUUAUGGUAACAAACUUCAAAAAUAACUCUAAAAACACAUAAUUUCAAAUACAACUUAUAAAAAUAAAAAUUAAACUAAAAAAAUUAAAUAACAAAUGUAACAAAUCCUAUCAUCCAUUUUUCUUCUAUUCACUACCCAUGACAUACCAUUACCUACCAUUAUCCAUGUCCUCGUCCCUCCUCCUCUGCCUCUUCCUUCUCCUCCAUUUUUCUUUUCCUCCCCUUCCCUCUCCUCUCCCUUCCACUGCUGGCCCCAGCCAAGCCUUUCCCCCCUCUUAUUUCCCUUUUGGUUGCAACCAAAAUGUCACGAGAGAUCCGGUUGCCACCAAAAGAGGAAGAAAUAGGAAGGGGGGUCAACGAGAGGUGAGAGAAGGAAAGAAAGAGGAAGGGCGAGGAUGGAAGAGAGAGGAGGGGAAGGGGAUAGUGACAACAGUAGAGGAAGGAGUAGGGGAGGGUAAUGGACUAUUUUAAAACAAAUUUAUAAAAAAUAUUUAAAAAUUUUUAAAUUCUAAAAAUACCUCAAAACACAGAAUUCAAAUGAAUAAUCUACAACAAAUUUUUUUUACAUAUAUUGCUACAGUAAAUUUUUUGAAAAAGAACCCUAAAAAUAUCUAAUUCAUAUGGAGUUUACAAAGAUAUUUUAAGUUUCUAGUUGGAUAUGUUUUAUGCUCGAAUGCUCAAUAUAAUUCCAAUUAUAAAUUAUUGGCACCACACCACAAUUCAGAACAUAUUACAUAUGGAAAGGAAUAAGCAUUCCAUGAUGAAGAGGUAGAUGCCUUGUUUUUUUAAGCAAUGUAGUGGUUGAUGCGUGAUAGCCGUUUACCAGUUAUUAAUAAGACUCAUAGUCAAUUUUGUCUUAAGUUACGGAACAUAUUAUUAAUAUUAAUAGUUAUAAGGGUAAAGUGUGUGUGGGUCAUCAAACAUUUCAAAAUUUUCAUUUCGCCUACAAAAUUAUUUUUCGUAUCGAAUAUCCCACCGAAUUUCUAAAUGUUCUUCAUCUUGAUCACUCCGUUAACUCUAACUGCUAAAAUGGAUAGAAGUUAGUCCAUUUGACAGGCCGGCCUGCUUUAAAUAGAUAAUUUGGACAUUUUGCCUGAAACCAUCCGACUCUAGCUCGUUUGGGAGGACGGAUUUGGUGAGAAAAGAAAGAACUAAGAAAGAAAGUAAAAUCAUUUAGCAUUUGGGAGUUUUAAUAGCAAGGAAAUAGAAAGAAAAGGAAGGAUCUCACGUCCUUUCAAGUUACAAAAACCCUCAGCCCAAAAUUAGGCGAAAAGCAUGAGAAAGGAAAGUGAAUUAAAUUUGAUGACCUAUUGACAAAAAAAAAAAAAGGAAAGUGAAUUAAAUAAAUAUUUUAAUAUAUCGAUUUUGCCUUUAUAAAGAUUAUAACAUAACAUUUUCCUAUAUUAGGUGAAUUUCAAGUUUCAAGGGUACUAAUGUAAAAUAGAAUCUUUUCCUUUUACUUCUCUUCACUCCCAAAUAAAAGAUACUCACUUCAUUAUCUUUCUUUGCAAAAACUCCCAAAUAACAUGAAGAAAUAUUACAAUCUCUUCUUCUCUUUUCUAACUUAAGCUUUCGCUUCUUUUCUAUUCUCUCCCAAACUAGCCAUUAAACUUUCAGCUCCCCAUUCGAUGACCCAUUUCUUGUUUAUCUAUUUUCUCUUGGAAUCUAACUCAAUCAUUCUCUCCAAGCCUUAAUAGUUUCUUUUGUAGUCUUGAAUUUUUUUUUUUUUUUUAGUCUCCUGUACAUACAAGUGAGGUUGGGGCAACUUACAUAAAUUUUGUUUCUUUUUUCUAUUGGGAAUCUUUAGAAGGAAACUCUUUAAAAUUUGUGGUGCUCUCCUUUGGUCUGGCUGUCAAGAUUUGAGGGUUUUCUUUUCAAUGCAAUCCUUUGAUUAUUGGCGUUUCUUUAAACCAAUGACACUGAAAAAAAAACCUUGAUCUUAGUGAUUAAUUUUUGUACUAAUGAUUUUAACAUUGAAAAUUUCAUGGGUUUCAGUUUUAAGAAGUAUUACACUCUUUUGGACGUAGCUACUAACUAAACAUAAAGCAAAAACCAUAUACCAGCAAAUAAGUAGGUGGGCUUCAUGCAAAACAUUCAAAUUGUCCAUUCAGAGGCGUUAAUUGUCGUCUAUCUUAACAGCAAAAGCUAAUUGAAUGGACAGUAUGAAGCACUUAAAGUUCAAUGUGCUAUUUGACCUGAAAAAUAUAUAUUUCAGUGAAUGAAAUAAGAAUCUUGAAAACUCUCCUGUGUUCCUUACCCUAGUCAUAAUUGAGGAAAAGUUAAAAGCCCAAAUUGGAUGAUCGCUUUCUAGGGUGCUUUUAGAGAAUAUAAUUGUAAUGCACUUUUCAAUGAAUAUAUACGUGACAUGGAGUGAUAAUUGGGUAACGUGUUUAAAAAUUUUCAAAAACAUACUAGCAAUUUUUUUUGGGGGGGGGGGCUGUUCUCGGACUGAGUAUUUCACUUGACUUCAAAUUCUGAUGUUACAUAAUUCAUGUUUUUUGACAUUCGUUCUCUUACGUUUGUGCAUAGAUUUAGAUUUUUUUUAAUGGUGAAAAAAAUGUUGGAAGUCCUGAACUUAAAUAACAGUAACUUUUGCUCAUUCUAAUUAAUUAGCUUUUUAUAAAAUUCACAGCUGACAACUGCCUUUCUUGUAACAGUAAAACUCACAAUUGCAUGUAUAAUCAUUUUCAAUCACCCGAUUACCUUCAUCAAUCCAUUAUUAGGUCUUCGAAACAUGCCAAUCCCAAAAGGACACCUCUUAAAGUGUAAACCAAUGUCCUUGGCUAAUGCAUCACAUAUAAAGUGAAUUUUAAUUUUAUGCACCGAGUACACCCAAUAAUGUCAUGGGCUGAAGCCUCAUAUAAUUUAUCUCACCAGAAUAUAGUAGGGAGUUUGUUAGGCGGAGAAUUUCGACAUAGAAAACUUUGUUUUUUUUUUUUUUGAGGGAUCCACAUAGAAAACUUACUAACCUUUUUCCUUGUCGUGUAUCCAUUUUACACGGUUUAUAGGGCUAUAUACCCCAUAUUCCGAACUCUAUGGCAGACAUGACAGUAGCUCAAAUUCAACGAGCAAUGGGAGAUGCCAGGAACGAUAACCAUGAAGCCAUCAAAAUGGCAAUUGUACAAGUCUUGACAUGUAGAAAAAAAAAAUCAUUAUCCACUUAGAAUUUUCCCUGUACUUUCAGCCAAUCUCCAACCACAAAUCUGCCCAAACUACCAAACAAAUUACUCAGUUGUUUUUACUUGAAGUGGCAGAGCCAUCUCAUUACGAGAGUAACAACUCAUAUGGGUUGGCCUACUCUCAGAACUCUUCACAUGUGAAACAGGAGGUGCACAGGAAAAAAGGGUACAAAAGGACCGUUGUCAUUAACGGACAAUUUUGUCUCCCAGCUAGAUAUAUAAUGUCCCAUUUCCAUUUAUCAUGUUCUUGAACCAGAGAAAUCAUCAAGUCUCAAAUAAACACAUAUAGAGUAGUAUUCAUUCUUACUGCUAUAUUUUUUUUUAUUUAACUUUCAUCUUGUACUUGUUUAUUUUAAUUAUGGUACAAGGAGCAAUUUGAAUAAGCAUUGUAUGACUAGUUAGAUUGAAGCUAUGAUAUGAGAAACUUGAAUAUGGGUUUUGUAAACUACUGUACUGUUGGGGAGAAAACCCUGAGAACCAAAUAAAGAGGUCCAAUAUAUGAAUGCUCAUAUUACACCCAAGUUGCUUCCCUAGUCCACCGCAAUACUCAAGACUAAUUCAACUAUUUGGAGCUAAAUCGUGGACCCUAUUUUCUUCAACACGUUAAUAGAAUCCCCGUCAAACCCCUAGUUCCAAGAUAUAUACACCAACUAGACUUAACAUAUUACUGGCUGCAUGGCCCAACAUAAGACGAUAACAAUCUAUCCGUCCGACAAAAAGAUAGCAAUUUACUGAUCUAUUAUUGAGAAGAAACAACUUGCAAAUAUGUAGCCUAGACUCAAACUCGAAACCUUUUUAUAAAGUGUAAAAUGAAAGAUCUCAAAUUUAGAAUCUCUCACUUACACUCUCUUCUUCUUCUGUACUAUUCAAUCUAUCCCUUUUCCAUAACUCGAAAACUUUGAUACCAUUGGUUGAGAAAAAAAAAAAAAAAUCAAAGAGAGCCCAUCAUAGAGGCAUAAAAUAUUUGGGAGCCUAAUGCCGAUGCAAAAGGUUAAAUUGAUAGGUCUUAAACCCUUAUCUAUAUAUUAAAAACUCUUUUUUUUUCUCUAAAAAUAAGGUAGGAUAACUAAUUUUACUCAUGAACCUAAAAAUUGUUCAAUUUGAUGGACCGGGAAAUGAACUUGCCCAGUUAACUUAGUCUAAUGUCUAGUUGACUCAUGAGACGUGUCCAGUUUCAUUACUUUGGAACUCCAACAUAAACUUACCAUGAUCACUUCAGAAGAAAAUAUUAUAUAUGAAUUUCCUCCAAUAGCCACUUUCCUCCUUAAUUCAAACAUAGACUUCCUUCCUUUAGCUAAUACACCACUCUCUAUAAUUCAGACCCCAUUCCAGCAUCUAGGAGGAAUAUUCCACCAAAAUGUGAACCCCCAAAAAAAAAAAAACAAAUAUGUAAUAGACUCUUAGGUUAAUGUGGUAUGGCUGAUGAAGCCAGUAAUAUAUACAACCACACAAUUGAAGAUAAGAGUUGAUGGUUCGGGAGGCAAUGAUCAUUUUAUGGACGAGAUGCGAGUAAAGUUGCGGGUAAUGUCCGGCAAUUAUAGCAAGACUUUUCAUGUACUGUUGUCCUACUCUAGUUUUGUUCGGUAUGAAAUGGUAAACGAUUUCAUCUCAGGAUUUUUGUCUAAAGAACGUCAACGUCUAAACAGCUGCAAAGCAAUUUACCAAUUUAGCAUACAAUAACCCUUCGCGCAAUUUAGCAUUUAACCUAUUUCCAAAGCACCAUUAAAUCACUAUUAGUUUCCUUCUUUAAUUGAUUUAUGUUGGCAAUCAUUUCUUUAGCUUAUGAUAAGUGAAUAAUUUACGUAAUAAUUGUAUGAUAUUUUAUAUUAUUUUUAGUCACUUUGGUUAUAUUACUGGAAAAAAAUGAAUCAUUUUGGCUAUAAUUGGUGAAAAAUGCUUUUAAGUGGUUAAAUAAGGUUUUUAUCACUUUUUACUUGGAUUUUAUGCAUUUUGACAGUUUUGACACAUUUUCAUAUUUCGGCUAUAACUUGAGCUACAAUGAUCGGAUUGAGAUGAUUCUUAAACCAAUUUGAAGAUAAGAGAUAGAUCUACAACUUUGUUGAAGACAUCUGAAUCCAGUUUGAAGGUUUUCCAGGUCAAAAAGCCGAAUUACAAUAGCUAAUUUCUAUUGGUCGAAGCUGAAACAGAGAAGUGAGCAGUCAAGGAUAUUUUGGUCAUUUCUCAACCUACACAGAUCCAAAUAUGGUGAUUCUUGAUGCAUUGGAAAGAUAACUCAAAGGGCUACAAGUUUUAUGUUUUGGUCAAGAGCUAAAUCAUCUUUUAUCAUCAAGAAAAGUUCAGUUGAAGUUGACGCAAAAUCGGAGCAGAGCUGGAAAUUGAACAAAAGUGUACCAAAAUGUCACUGUAGCAAUCCGGUCGGAACUUAGCCGGAUUUCUGGCCGGAUUGUGGUCAGAGAAGGCUGCUCUUUACGCGGAAAACUUAUUUUCACCUCCAACAAGUCACAUGCAAUGCCAGACAUGUGAGAACUACUUUGCAGCUGUAAAAGGGUGGUGUAGGCCUCAUUUUCUUGAUUUCUUUCAUCUUUAUAUAGCCAAAACUUGCAAGAUUGAAAGAAGAAUAGAGAGACAUACGGGAGAACUUGGAGAGUGCAGAGAUGUAACUCUUACAUCUUUUGAGUGUUAGAUUAGUUUUAAUAUAGAUUAGUAUAGUUCAUCCAUUCUUGUAUAUUGGCUAGACUAGGAUGAAGAUGGAAAUGAAGAAGGAGGAGUUGAAGCUCAAGUGACAUGGGUUAUCUCUUCUCCAACUCUUUAUUUUUUGUACUUGAUUCCAAGUUUAGUUAAUAUGCAAAUUCUGGAUUUUGUGUUUAAUAUGUGUCUCUAAAGUUUAUGCCUUGGGUUUGGUUGAACUUUCUAUAAUUGUUAGUGUUUAUUAUUUGAUUAUUUGAUUGCUAUGCUUUGAGCAAGUUAUUUAGCACUUUGACUCUUUAAAUCAUGAUUAAUUUGGUCCCAUUAAUUGUGAUUAUCUAAGGUGUUGUUUCUGCAAUGAAAAUUAAGAUUUAAUACUACUAGUUCAAGAAGUGCUAAACAUAGGGAGUACACUAACGAAAGUAGAGGUGCACCUAUGUGGUUUUUAGUGAUUCAUUUCAUGUAAUUUCACUAAAGAAAUGAACUUGUAACUAAUUUCAUAACCACGAGAAUAGGUAUGGAUUAGUUAUAAGUAUAAUUGAUUCACUACGAAAGUAAGAUUCAAAUGCAUAAGGAAAUUACACCAUAACUAGCCUAGAUAUAAUACUCAAUGAUCCAAAUAUAGCACUUGCAUGAGUAGUUGGGGAUACCACAAUCUAAGGAGCUUUUAUUUGUUAUUUUGUAUAAUUUCAGUAGGUUAAAUUUGUUAUAAUUCGUUAAUAGUCUAAAUAAUAGAGAAGCUUUAUUAAUACAGGUAAUUGUUCACUCUUUCUCAUGGGAUCGACCCGAUAUAUAUCCUAAACUACUAGUUGACCUAUAUACUUGCAGUGAACGAGUGUAAUUCAGUUUUUAACUUGCGCGUAUAUUAAAAUCCCGUCAGCUUAAGAAGUUCCUUGUUUAAAAUCUUUUCCAUCUCUACAACUGUCCUUGCAGGAAUGUGAUGCAGUGGCAGAAGAUUAUUUCUUUGCAUACCCUGACCAGGUCACCUAAAAUAAAUGUACAGACUGAUUUUUUUGGGGGUUACAAAUUUGUAUAUUAUUUGGUUGAAUGGCUACCCACAUCAAAGUAUUCAGAUAAUAUAAAGUUCAUAAGUUCACAAAAAAUAUCCAAAAGAUUAAGGGAGAAAAAAUAUCCAAAAGAUUAAGGGAGUCAUGGAUUUGAUGAAUGUCUGAUAUGAAUCUUGGGUUGACUUGGUUUAUUAUCAUAUUAAAUUUCACUUUUAGACACUUUCUGCUCUUAAGACCUUCAAAUUUGUUCCAUUUAAAUUCAAUCGAUAAUAUUAUUAACAAGACUAACAGAAUAGGGAUACAGUGCAAAUCAAUAACAAAUUGAUGAAUAAGGUUAGAAAGAGUAAGGGGAUUGUAAUUGGAACAAAAUUAUGCAUUCAUACGUACACAAAGCAUAAAACAUGAUAAUUAUUCAUUGCUGUAAAAAGUGAAAGCGGUGGUAGUUUAACUUAGUAAUUUAACAUUAAACAAGAAAAAGAAGUACAACUUCUGAACAAGUCUUUGGUACAUCACGUUUUGCAGUUACUCAGACACUCAACAACAACUCAACAGUAAAAACAGCAAAAUGUAAAUAGUUAUUAAGCAGGUAGACCCUGCAAGACUCUUCAUUUGAUGAAAAUUCUCCAUGUUCAAAGUUGAGCUAAGCGACUUAUGUCAAUUGGAUAUGCAUCUGAUGACUUUUGAGCCCUGUAUGAUCUUCUCCCAACUAUGAUAUUUGCAGCUUCAGUUGGAUGAAAUGCAUCCCAAAAUAGAUGCUGAUUUCUGUUAGGACAUGGAGUUUGAAAAGGAAGACAUGUUAUCUGGCCAUUGUUUCUCCCAACUCCACAGCAACCUCUAUUUGUCACAGUGAAACCUGCGCAGAAAAUUAAAUAUAAUUCGAAGCCAGCCAGAUGCAUUUUCCAACCCCCUCCAAGAGUUGAAUUUUCGUAGUUAACAUAACAUUUUGAAUUUUUUAAAAUUUUUAUUUGUGAAGUAAAAAAUUGCAUCAACUCAAACAAUAAAUGUGCAAAUAAAUUUCUAGGAGAAAUGGCAUGGAAGUUACCAAAAGCAGAGGGACUGCUGAUUAAAUCCUGGAAAAUCCCAUAAGCAUCAAUGUAGAUAAAUCUUGCAUCAGUGAAUUGAUUGUUCAAGGUGUCCACUAAAGACUUAAGUUUGCUAUUGAACAUCUGAUUUGCCGAGUUGAUUCUGGCCACACAAGUUCUGCCAUCAGGGCUAUUUUGGGCUAAUUCAUUUGGACUGCAUCCAAUUUGACCCACUCCGAUCAAAACAAGCUUCCUUGCUCCAAGGUUAUACAAUCUCUAUCGACAAUCAUAAACAUCAAAAUGUCAAACUUAGAACUUUAGAAAGAAAAAAAAAUUAAAGGAACAGUUCUAUUCUAUGAAAUAUGAAUAGGGCUUGUAAAGAACUUUAAGAGGAAAAAAAAAGAAGAAGGAAAUACAUGAAAGAGUAAUUAAAUGAAAGAAAAGAUCGAUAAAGGAAAAACCAACAAGAACUUUUAAAAGUUAGAACUGCUUCUCGAUCAUUUAUUUUCCCUUUUUAGUAAAUUAAAACAAACAGGUGGCUAAGCAGACUGCGUUUAAGUUAUUUUAUUUGAUUCUAUUUUUCUGUUUGUUAUUCUUCAUAGUGCUUUAAAAGAUUUGUUCACAGUUCCUCAUUUCCAGCUCAUAAUUAAUAUCACCUAAACUAUUGUCCUUCUGCCCAAGUCAAAAGGGAGGUCGGUCGACUGGUACAACAUUGGAAAAAACACCCUUAGAAUACGCCUAAGCAAUAAAUACAACUAGCUUUUGUUCAAAGAGGCAGAGACUUCUGAAACAAAUUGUGCGUGAAAUUGUCCAAGAAAUUAAUUCCUCAUGCCGUCACGCAUAGUAGCUUUUGCUACAGCAUGAUGAUCAGAAGUCGAAGGAGACUAGAAGAGUGCAAUUACAUCUCUAAGCAUGACAUAAUGUACAUUUGCCUUUUCAUUUCUUUGCCUUUUCAUUUCUUUCUGUCCUCUUGCCUUUUUUUUUUUUUUCCCCUUCUUCAUUUAUCUCCGUAUAAACAUAGAGUUACUUAAAUUCUCUACCCAAGCAUGCAUCAGCAAAUUUUUUCUCUAUCUCAUCACAUGAUAUGAUAUAUGAAUGGGAUAAUUAAAAAUUUUAGUCAUGGAAAAAUAUGAGUGUCUCACCCUUAUUUGUUGAGAAUACUGGCCAAUAAGAGCAUUAGCAAAUUGCUCAGGUGUGAAUUGUCUGCUGCUUGAGUAGAAUAGAGGCAUGAAAUAAUUGUUAAGAUAGUCAUUGCUGCCAAGUCCAACUGAAUAUAUGCAUUUGCUAAGGUAAGCUGCAGCACGGUUUUGGUCUCCAAGUAAGCUCACAAUUUGAGAAACUGUGCUGUUGUAAUUAUUCACCUGCCCAGUAAAACUAGUUCUGGCACCCUAUGUGAGAGAAUUCAUCAGCACCUUCAUAUGCAUGUAGACCAAAAAAAAAUAUAAUGUAGUUGUCAAAAACAAAGUAAUCUUUUGUAGUAUUACCAAUUGCUGGCCAGUUUCUUCUCUAAUUCCAGCAGCAGCUGAAGCAUAAUUUACUCCUUUGAGUAUGUCUUGGCCCUGGGCUCUUGUGAAGGGUUGAAUAUAUCCAUUGAAUCCCAGUAGCUCAGCUGAUGAUGAAGCAAACACAUUGAUUAGGAAUAAUCAAAAUGAAAAUAACACAUAAAUUAAAAUAUACGUGUGUGUAGAUUAAUACAUGUGUGUGUAUAUAAAAAAAAUGUUAUUUGCAUUCCUAUUUUUUGUUAAUCACACUCUCACUAUCAUUUUAAUCAUAUAACUUUCAUUUAUUAAACUAUAUGAUAAAAUAAAUAAAUAAAAAUUGGGUGUAAUGUGUGUGUGUGUGUGUGAGUGACGGAACUAAAAAAAAAAUUAACUAGUAUACAAAAUCGAUAUUGAAAAAAAAAAAAACCUUUAUACUGCUACGAGAAUUACCCAACAUCACUCUAUAUGCAGUAUGUUUCCAAACUUUACUUGCUAGCCAGAUAUUGCAGUAUCUCGAAAGCGUUCUUGCCAAUGCGGAAAAUAUACGUAGUAAAAUAUAGUAUUACGUGAGACCAUAAAGCGAAUACUUUCUUUGACAUGCAAUUAGUAAACAAUGAAGAACAUGUAGUCAUUAACCGCAUGAAAAUGAUAGUCAAGAGAAUAUGCACAAAAGCAGCUCAUCAUUAGAUGUGACAAGUUCUACGGAUAUUUGCUAAUUCUUCGAAUAUAUAUGUUAUGACUGCAUAUUCAUGGUAAUCUUAUUUUUAAUAUUGUCAAUAUGAAGUUGACCUAAUUUCAGAAUUAGGAAGCUGAUAAAUAUUAGUACCUUUUAAAUAAAGAGAAAGUAUAGAUAUAUACGACCAAUCAAGCAACAAAUUAGUGAGAAAGUAAUAGAGAGGGGGUUCAAAACUCACUUAUAACAUCAACGGUAGUUUUUCCAUUACAAAACCUUCCAGUUGGUCCACCAGGAAAAUCGAUUCCAUAGGGCAAGUAAUUAGCUUUAGCCAAAGAAUUGAUAUUGUUGUUGUUACCAUUGUCCACCAGGGAAUCUCCAAAAAUAAAGUAACAUGGAACCUGGGGCUGUGCUAAAACCCCGUUCGGCACCGCCACCACCACCAUCACAACAAACCCCACCAAGAAUUUCUUGAACUCGGCCCCCAUUUGCAACAUAUUUUAGAAUAAAACAAAAGGGAGUUGAAAGAAUUUUGUAGCUAAAAAAAAAAGGGGCUAGUACUAAAAGGUGGUGGACUCCUUUUAGCUAUUGAGUGAUGAAAUUCUAGGAGCAUCGAGUGUGUUAUUUAUACACAUAUUUUAAGGUCAGACUUGAAAGGCUUGGCAAACAAUUAAUAGGUGUGCAGCAAUUGGUUCUGGGAGUCAAUCAAUCAAGCAAUUAGUAACUUUUAUGGGUGAGAAGUAACGGUGCAUUAAAUUUAACGCGGACAGACUUUGAGUUUCUUUACAGUUUACACUGAAGUCCAAACAGAGUUUGUUUGAAAUGGUCGUCAAUUUGACAAUCGCCCUUUUUGUCUGCACCGAUUGCGAGCGCCAAAGAAGUCGGUACAAGCAUACUUAUAAAGUCCCUCCCGGUCGAGUCGGCCAACCCGAUUUAUCCGGUAGGAUCGAAUUGAUCACUAAUUAGGUGAGUUAAGCAAUAGAUUCAUCUGAUCAACGAUUCAGCGGUUGGAUCACCGAUUUAAAAUAUUGAUUAUUUUUAUAAUUUAAAAUAUAUUAUUAUAUUUUAUAAUAUAACUGUUGUGCAACCUGCGAUUGAACUGGUGAUCCAAACACCUCUUCGGAUCGGGUUUUAAGUCGGGUUUAAGAGUACAAGGUCCAUUUUUCCAAAGAAGUUUUAUCGUUUUGGGCCUCGUUUGUUAGUUUAGCCGAGAGAGAGAGAGCUUAAAUUGCGAGAUAAAUAUAAUUUGACUUUGAAUUAUUCCGAUCAGAGUUAAUCUACUUAAAUUGUUUGGGACAUUUGCAGAGAGAAAUUAAUUUGAAUUUAUGAGUAUUACAGUUUUCUUCUUGAAAGUUUUAUGGACAAGGUAACUUUUCUUUCAUUUCUCUUCAUUUGGCAAAAGACGUUUUUAGUCAUUUUUGCAUUCCAUUUCUUCCUAUACUCUAGAAUAUUUACUUUAUUUUGUGCUUCCAACUAGUGUAGGAUAAAAUUUCACUAUCAUUAAUUAUAGAUGCACUCUUACUUUAUAGGUGACACAUUAAUUCUUAAAGUAUAAAAUCCAUCCCACUUUGAUUAUUAAACUUUGAGCAUCACUUGCCUACUAUUAUGUUAGCUAGUUUUGACAAUCGGUUACAUAUUUUAAGGGAUAAAAUAUCCAAAGUUGAAGUUUAAGAACUAAACUCCGAUUAUACACUUCAGAAAGUAAAGAGCUCAAAAUUAAAACUAACUUAAAAAUUAAAGUGGGCCGGGAGUGCAUCGAUAGCUUAAAAUUGAUCCAGAUGAGCUGAAUUAAGGGGAUGUUCGGAUCCCGUUAAAUUAGUUCCAGUCAUGAUCAGUGAAAGCCUUUUCUAGUUUCUGCUGCAUGUACCAUAUUGAGAUAAAUCCUAGUGACCCUAUACGAAUUGUUUGAUAAUUUCUGAAUAAACUCUUUACUCGUUUCCUUCCGGAGAAAAAGGUUUGCUGCAUCUGUUCGUAAAAUAAAAAUCAUUUGGAUUUGUCUUGUAUUCAAGAUAAUUUAAAACGAACACAUUUAUGUUUACUUGCAAAAUUAAAAACAAUUUCUCACUUCUCCAGUUCACAAGGAAAGACAAACAAAACAGAAACGACUUAAAAUUCACAAUCACAAAUAAAAAAGACUUGAAUAAUCAGACUGAUGGGUCUAGUUUGCACGAGGAGCUUUGAGCACUACAUUUUAUAAACAUCUAAGAAUACGUAUCGAAAUCCAAUCUGAUGCUUCGUCGGUCAUAAUUCAUAAGUCGCCAAGUAUCUAAUUCCCAUCAAAGCAGCAGCCAAAUUCCUGGUUGAACUUUGGACUUGAUUUCCGAAUAAGGUUGUUAAACUUGGACCAGUAAGUGAUCAGCUAAUGGAAUAUCGAGUCGAUCGUGACAUUAACCAGUUCAACCAAUUAAACUGGUUGAGUUACCGCUCCACCUUUUUUUUAAUGUAUUUUAAUAUUUGUUGUCCAUGGAUUUUUCUCAAAUGAUAUAAUGUUGGACAACAGAUUACUUAAACUACAAAAAUGUAUAAGCUAAGCCUCAAAUUUACCUAGUACUAAUUAACAAAACAUAGAAUAUUAAUGUAAUUAACUAAAGAAAACUAAGCAAUUUCGAAAGUAGCACUGAUCAAUUAUUAACAAAAACAUAUAUUUGUAUCAUACAUCGUAUACAGGCAAAACUUGAAGGUCUAAUAAAUUAACAUGGUGAAAGAAAUAGUUCAAAAUUGGGGAUUUAUCAUUUAAUACAAAUAGGACCAAAUAAAUCAUAUUUUUGCAAUGCCAAUGACGUGAGAAGUUUAAAGUUGACACCAAAUGAGUCUUGGAAUAGCCAAAAAAAAAUAAUGAUGAGAGUCCAAAAUUCUAUUGUUAAAAUUUAGAUGAUUUCAUUUCAAAUUACAGUUUUAUCAAACGCACCCUAAAUUCUAUUCAAUUUUCCGCUGCAGAGCACAUAAUUGUAUGUGUACAAAGUUGUUAAGGAUAUCAUCUCUACAUACGGUGUGAACUAUGUGUAGAGGUUUGAUGUGAUAGUGCUUGGCGUUUGAUUUUAAGAUCGACGUAAUACUUGAAUUUUUGGAUUUCAGUCCUUUCUGAUAAUAAGUAAUGACUAGCAUAUAUUCAAAUACGUCUAGAAAUUAGGCGCACAGAUUCUUAUACAUCAUAGUCUAGAUUUUUAAAUGUGCUGCUUUGAAAUUUGAAAGAACAAAUUCAACAUUUUCCUAAAACUGUAAGAAUGUCAUGGCGACAGUAGACACUAGCCCUUUUAACACUAAGCACUUUUGUUAUAGUUAAGUUUAGAAUGACAUGGAAAACGAUGUAGUUAGAGUAUUUCAAAUUUAUGGGAUUUGAAUAAUUUUCUUCCGAAAAGGAUCAAAUGUAUGGGACAAGUGUUGAGUUGUAGAAAAAUAUAUUUAUGACUUAAAAAUACAUUUUUAUAACCAACAAUUACAAGGAAAGCCUUAAGCUAGAGCAGUAGUAUGGCAUCAAUCUUGCAAGCCAUAACAUCAAGAGGUAGAAAUACAAUAGUGAAAAGAAAGAUUUAAGCAUUGUCUCAAUCAUCUCUUUUGACUCUAAUUUAAUUGAAGUUUACAUCUUCAAAGUUGAGCUAAGCGACUUAUGUCAAUUGGAUAUGCAUCUGAUGAC
Molecule: long non-coding RNA, 36861 nt
Filed under: Coffea arabica (coffee)
Lineage: Eukaryota; Viridiplantae; Streptophyta; Magnoliopsida; Gentianales; Rubiaceae
Description: long non-coding RNA (CARA_LNC001016)
Source: RNAcentral